GGCUCAGGACGAACGCUGGCGGCAGGCCUAACACAUGCAAGUCGAACGGUAACAGGAAACAGCUUGCUGUUUCGCUGACGAGUGGCGGACGGGUGAGUAAUGUCUGGGAAACUGCCUGAUGGAGGGGGAUAACUACUGGAAACGGUAGCUAAUACCGCAUAACGUCGCAAGACCAAAGGGGGGGACCCUCGGGCCUCUUGCCAUCGGAUGUGCCCAGAUGGGAUUAGCUAGUAGGUGGGGUAACGGCUCACCUAGGCGACGAUCCCUAGCUGGUCUGAGAGGAUGACCAGCCACACUGGAACUGAGACACGGUCCAGACUCCUACGGGAGGCAGCAGUAGG
Molecule: ribosomal RNA, 341 nt
Filed under: uncultured Shigella sp.
Lineage: Bacteria; Pseudomonadati; Pseudomonadota; Gammaproteobacteria; Enterobacterales; Enterobacteriaceae
Description: bacterial SSU rRNA
Rfam family: Bacterial small subunit ribosomal RNA
Source: RNAcentral